This is a long non-coding RNA of Oncorhynchus keta (chum salmon), 979 nucleotides long. RefSeq lists it as uncharacterized. The transcript has 3 exons. NCBI's taxonomy places the organism in Eukaryota, Metazoa, Chordata, Actinopteri, Salmoniformes, Salmonidae. The record is from RefSeq and is a predicted model, not a curated record.
AGAACAGAAGGUCUUUAUAGAACAGAAGGUCUUUAUAGAACAUGAAGGUCUUUAUAGAACAGAAGGUCUUUAUAGAACAGAAGGUCUUUAUAGAACAUGAAGGUCUUUAUAGAACAGAAGGUCUUUAUAGAACAGAAGGUCUUUAUAGAACAUGAAGGUCUUUAUAGAACAGAAGGUCUUUAUAGAACAGAAGGUCUUUAUAGAACAUGAAGGUCUUUAUAGAACAUGAAGGUCUUUAUAGAACAUGAAGGUCUUUAUAGAACAGAAGGUCUUUAUAGAACAGAAGGUCUUUAUAGAACAUGAAGGUCUUUAUAGAACAGAAGGUCUUUAUAGAACAGAAGGUCUUUAUAGAACAUGAAGGUCUUUAUAGAACAGAAGGUCUUUAUAGAACAUGAAGGUCUUUAUAGAACAGAAGGUCUUUAUAGAACAGAAGGUCUUUAUAGAACAUGAAGGUCUUUAUAGAACAGAAGGUCUUUAUAGAACAGAAGGUCUUUAUAGAACAUGAAGGUCUUUAUAGAACAGAAGGUCUUUAUAGAACAGAAGGUCUUUAUAGAACAUGAAGGUCUUUAUAGAACAUGAAGGUCUUUAUAGAACAUGAAGGUCUUUAUAGAACAUGAAGGUCUUUAUAGAACAGAAGGUCUUUAUAGAACAUGAAGGUCUUUAUAGAACAUGAAGGUCUUUAUAGAACAGAAGGUCUUUAUAGAACAUGAAGGUCUUUAUAGAACAGAAGGUCUUUAUAGAACAGAAGGUCUUUAUAGAACAUGAAGGUCUUUAUAGAACAGAAGGUCUUUAUAGAACAGAAGGUCUUUAUAGAACAUGAAGGUCUUUAUAGAACAUGAAGGUCUUUAUAGAACAGAAGGUCUUUAUAGAACAGAAGGUCUUUAUAGAACAUGAAGGUCUUUAUAGAACAGAAGGUCUUUAUAGAACAGAAGGUCUUUAUAGAACAUGAAGGUCUUUAUAGAACAUGAAGGUCUUUAUA